Molecule: ribosomal RNA, 586 nt
Filed under: uncultured bacterium
Lineage: Bacteria
Description: bacterial SSU rRNA
Rfam family: Bacterial small subunit ribosomal RNA
Source: RNAcentral
CCUACGGGAGGCAGCAGUAGGGAAUCUUCCACAAUGGGCGAAAGCCUGAUGGAGCAACGCCGCGUGAGUGAUGAAGGCCUUCGGGUUGUAAAACUCUGUCAUUCGGGACGAACCGGAGUCUGAGGAAAUGCAGACUCUCUGACGGUACCGGAGGAGGAAGCCCCGGCUAACUACGUGCCAGCAGCCGCGGUAAUACGUAGGGGGCAAGCGUUGUCCGGAUUCACUGGGCGUAAAGCGCGCGCAGGCGGUGAUGUAAGUCUGAGGUGAAAACCCGAAGCUCAACUUCGGGACUGCCUUGGAUACUGCGUCACUUGAGGAUAGGAGAGGCAAGGGGAAUUCCACGUGUAGCGGUGAAAUGCGUAGAGAUGUGGAGGAACACCUGUGGCGAAGGCGCCUUGCUGGCCUAUUUCUGACGCUGAGGCGCGAAAGCGUGGGGAGCAAACAGGAUUAGAUACCCUGGUAGUCCACGCUGUAAACGAUGAGUGCUAGGUGUAGGUGGGCUCAUACCCAUCUGUGCCGAAGCUAACGCAUUAAGCACUCCGCCUGGGGAGUACGGCCGCAGACUGAAACUCAAAUGAAUUGACGG